RNAcentral lists this ribosomal RNA (253 nucleotides) under uncultured bacterium. RNAcentral's name for it is "partial 16S ribosomal RNA". It matches the Rfam family "Bacterial small subunit ribosomal RNA", at positions 524 to 776 of the family's 1533-position model. The record is from RNAcentral.
UCCGAAAGGGGCUAGCGUUGUUCGGAAUUACUGGGCGUAAAGCGCACGUAGGCGGCACAGUAAGUUGGGGGUGAAAUCCCGGAGCUCAACUCCGGAACUGCCUUCAAGACUGCAGAGCUGGAGGAUGCGAGAGGUGAGUGGAAUUCCGAGUGUAGAGGUGAAAUUCGUAGAUAUUCGGAAGAACACCAGUGGCGAAGGCGGCUCACUGGCGCAUUUCUGACGCUGAGGUGCGAAAGCGUGGGGAGAAAACAGG